Molecule: ribosomal RNA, 468 nt
Filed under: uncultured bacterium
Lineage: Bacteria
Description: partial 16S ribosomal RNA
Rfam family: Bacterial small subunit ribosomal RNA
Source: RNAcentral
GAUGAACGCUGGCGGCGUGCUUAACACAUGCAAGUCGAACGGAAAGGCCGAAGCUUGCUUCGGUACUCGAGUGGCGAACGGGUGAGUAACACGUGGGUGAUCUGCCCUGUACUUCGGGAUAAGCUUGGGAAACUGGGUCUAAUACCGGAUAUGACGAUCUCUUGGAUGGGGUUGUGGAAAGCUUUUGCGGUAUGGGAUGAGCUCGCGGCCUAUCAGCUUGUUGGUGGGGUAAUGGCCUACCAAGGCGUCGACGGGUAGCCAGCCUGAGAGGGUGUACGGCCACAUUGGGACUGAGAUACGGCCCAGACUCCUACGGGGGGCAGCAGUGGGGAAUAUUGCACAAUGGGCGCAAGCCUGAUGCAGCGACGCCGCGUGGGGGAUGACGGCCUUCGGGUUGUAAACUCCUUUCGCAAUCGACGAAGCCUUUUGGUGACGGUAGGUUGAGAAGAAGCACCGGCUAACUACGUG